RNAcentral lists this ribosomal RNA (558 nucleotides) under Priestia megaterium. RNAcentral describes it as "bacterial SSU rRNA". It matches the Rfam family "Bacterial small subunit ribosomal RNA", at positions 95 to 641 of the family's 1533-position model. The record is from RNAcentral. Lineage: Bacteria; Bacillati; Bacillota; Bacilli; Caryophanales; Bacillaceae.
GCGGCGGACGGGUGAGUAACACGUGGGCAACCUGCCUGUAAGACUGGGAUAACUUCGGGAAACCGAAGCUAAUACCGGAUAGGAUCUUCUCCUUCAUGGGAGAUGAUUGAAAGAUGGUUUCGGCUAUCACUUACAGAUGGGCCCGCGGUGCAUUAGCUAGUUGGUGAGGUAACGGCUCACCAAGGCAACGAUGCAUAGCCGACCUGAGAGGGUGAUCGGCCACACUGGGACUGAGACACGGCCCAGACUCCUACGGGAGGCAGCAGUAGGGAAUCUUCCGCAAUGGACGAAAGUCUGACGGAGCAACGCCGCGUGAGUGAUGAAGGCUUUCGGGUCGUAAAACUCUGUUGUUAGGGAAGAACAAGUACAAGAGUAACUGCUUGUACCUUGACGGUACCUAACCAGAAAGCCACGGGCUAACUACGUGGCAGCAGGCGCGGUAAUACGUAGGUGGCAAGCGUUAUCCGGAAUUAUUGGGCGUAAAGCGCGCGCAGCGGUUUCUUAAGUCUGAUGUGAAGCCCACGGCUCAGCGGUGGAGGUCAUUGCAAACUGGCGAAC